This 1947-nucleotide ribosomal RNA is filed under the name Triticum aestivum (bread wheat). Its description in RNAcentral is "partial small subunit ribosomal RNA". Lineage: Eukaryota; Viridiplantae; Streptophyta; Magnoliopsida; Poales; Poaceae. The record is from RNAcentral.
AUGCCUCCGAACGGGCAGAGCGUGCAUGGCGGCGGCGGCGGCGGCGGCUUAGUCUCGCCCACGGCCGCGCCGGCGCCGUCGUCCAAGAUGGACUGCUUCCUCACGUCCGUCUGCACGCCGCUGAAUCUCCAGUUCAUCGACGUCGCGUACCGCGUCAAGGUGGAGAGGACGGCGGGGCCGGCGAAGGAGCCACCGGGAAGGAUAUCGCACUCGGGUGGUGGUGGUGGUGGCCUCGGCGGCGUGUCGGCGGCUGUUGAGGAGAGGACGAUACUCAAGGGGAUCACCGGCGAGGCGCGGCCCGGGGAGGUCCUGGCCGUGCUAGGCCCGUCCGGCAGCGGCAAGUCGACGCUCCUGUCCAUCCUCGGUGGCCGCCUCGCCGGCCGCUACUCGGGCACGGUCCUGACCGGCGGCCGCGCCCCGUGCCGCGCCGUGCAGCGCCGCACGGGAUUCGUCGCCCAGGACGACAUCCUCCACCCGCACCUCACCGUCCGCGAGACCCUCGCCUUCUGCGCCAUGCUGCGGCUCCCCACCUCCGCCCCGACCUCCGCCAAGCUGGCCGCCGCCGACGCCGUGAUCGCGGAGCUGGGCCUCGGCGCCUGCGCCGACACCAUCGUGGGCAACGCGUUCGUGCGCGGCGUGUCCGGCGGCGAGCGGAAGCGCGUGAGCAUCGGGCACGAGCUGCUGGUGAACCCGAGCCUGCUGGUCCUCGACGAGCCCACCUCCGGGCUGGACUCCACCGCCGCGUCCCGGCUGGUGGCCACGCUGUCGGCGCUGGCGCGCAGGGGGCGCACGGUGGUGCUGUCCGUGCACCAGCCGUCCAGCCGCGUGUACCGGGCGUUCGACUCCGUGCUGCUGCUCUCCGAGGGGAGCUGCAUGUACCACGGCCCCGGCCGCGACGCCAUGGACUACUUCGCCUCCGUCGGCUUCGCGCCGGGCUUCCACGUCAACCCGGCCGACUUCAUGCUCGACCUCGCUAAUGGCUUUGCGCAAGCGGAGUACAGCGAUCGCGCGGCGGAGGGAGUCAGCGUCAAGCAGUCGCUGAUCGCGUCCUACGCCAGGGAGCUCGCCCCCAAGGUAAAGGCCGCCAUCGGCGCCGGCGCGCACGUCGAGAAUGGUCACGCCGGCGGCGGCGCGGGCGAGCAGCCGCUGGAGAGCUGCAGCGGGUCUGGGUGCACCAGCUGGACCAACCAGUUCACCAUCCUGCUCCGGCGCAGCCUCAAGGAGCGCCGCCACGAGACCUUCACGUCGCUCCGCCUCUUCCAGAUCAUCGCGCCGGCGCUGGUGGCGGGGGCCAUGUGGUGGCGCUCCACGCCGCUGGAGGUGCAGGACCGGAUGGGCCUCCUCUUCUUCAUCUCCAUCUUCUGGGGCGUCUUCGCCUCCUUCAACGCCGUCUUCGCCUUCCCGCAGGAGCGCCCCGUCCUCGCCCGCGAGCGCGCCUCCGGCAUGUACUCCCUCUCCUCCUACUUCAUGGCCAGGAUGGCCGGCGACCUGCCCAUGGAGCUCGCGCUGCCCGCCGCCUUCACCGUCAUCGUCUACCUCAUGGCGGGGCUCAACCCGGCGCCCGCAGCGUUCGCGCUCACGCUCGUCGUGAUCCUCUCCUACGUGCUCGUCGCCGAGGGGCUCGGGCUCGCCAUCGGCGCCCUCAUGAUGGACGCCAAGCGCGCCUCCACGCUCGCCACCGUCAUCAUGCUCGCCUACCUCCUCACCGGCGGCUUCUACGUCCACAACGUGCCGAUCUUCAUGAUCUGGGCCAAGUACUCCUCCUUCACCUACUACUGCUACCGCCUGCUCAUCGCCGUGCAGUACAGCGGGCACCUCGCCCAGCUGCUCCCGCUCGAGUCCACGCACGGCGAGGCCGGCACGUGGACCUGCGUCGCCGCCCUCGUCGCCAUGUUCUUCGGCUACCGCCUGCUGGCAUACUUCGCCCUGCGCCGGGUCAGGACGUGA